ACGCUCGACACCUACUGGAGGCAGCAGUGGGGAAUAUUGCACAAUGGGGGAAACCCUGAUGCAGCAACGCCGCGUGAAGGAAGACGGUUUUCGGAUUGUAAACUUCUGUUCUUAGUGAAGAUAGUGACGGUAGCUAAGGAGCAAGCCACGGCUAACUACGUGCUAGCAGCCGCGGUGAUCUGAGGCGGGCUGGCAAGGC
This 199-nucleotide ribosomal RNA is filed under the name uncultured bacterium. RNAcentral's name for it is "partial 16S ribosomal RNA". It matches the Rfam family "Bacterial small subunit ribosomal RNA", at positions 328 to 539 of the family's 1533-position model. The record is from RNAcentral.